GAAGAGUGAUUUUGGUCGACUAAACAAUUUUGAUUCAUUAGCUAUGUUAGUUAAUUCGUGAAUUAUUGAAAAUUCGAAUUAAACAGUCCGUCUACGAAUUUUUUUCAAAAAUAGAGAAUUAUUCGCCCCAGGUAACAUACGGUACGGCCCAUAUUACAUCCCUACCAAGAGGCUUCUCCACACGGUAUAUCCUAAAUUAUCUUUAUUGACCUUUCCUUUCAAAUUUAAUAAUAUUUCAAAAAUAUUUUUAUUUUUUAUCUAAAACAAUUUAAAUUACUACUAUCUAACUCAAGUUAAAAAAUUAUAAUUCUAGGAAUUAGAAGAUUUUAUUAUUUUUAUACUUAAUAUAUAGGAAUGAUUAGUAAUUCAUAAGCAAAAACAUGCUAAGUCCUAAUAAUCUUCCGAUUCAAGCUAACAUGAGAAGUUCGUAACAAAUUUGUCAUUUUAAACAUAAAAUAUAUAAUUUUUUUAAAAAAUAUAAAAUAUAUUAUAUUUCUAAAAUAUUAUAGAUCAGUAAAAUAAACAAAUAAUUUUUAUUAAU
This 541-nucleotide long non-coding RNA is filed under the name Ananas comosus (pineapple). RNAcentral describes it as "long non-coding RNA (ACOM_LNC021898)". The record is from RNAcentral. Lineage: Eukaryota; Viridiplantae; Streptophyta; Magnoliopsida; Poales; Bromeliaceae.